Molecule: ribosomal RNA, 507 nt
Filed under: uncultured bacterium
Lineage: Bacteria
Description: bacterial SSU rRNA
Rfam family: Bacterial small subunit ribosomal RNA
Source: RNAcentral
CUACCCUUGACAUGUCUGGAAUCCCUGAGAGAUUAGGGAGUGCUCGAAAGAGAAUCAGAACACAGGUGCUGCAUGGCUGUCGUCAGCUCGUGUCGUGAGAUGUUGGGUUAAGUCCCGCAACGAGCGCAACCCUUGUCAUUAGUUGCUACAUUUAGUUGGGCACUCUAAUGAGACUGCCGGUGACAAACCGGAGGAAGGUGGGGAUGACGUCAAGUCCUCAUGGCCCUUAUGGGUAGGGCUUCACACGUCAUACAAUGGUACAUACAGAGGGUCGCCAACCCGCGAGGGGGAGCUAAUCCCAGAAAGUGUAUCGUAGUCCGGAUUGUAGUCUGCAACUCGACUACAUGAAGUUGGAAUCGCUAGUAAUCGCGGAUCAGCAUGUCGCGGUGAAUACGUUCCCGGGUCUUGUACACACCGCCCGUCACACCAUGGGAGUGGGUUUCACCAGAAGUAGGUAGCCUAACCGCAAGGAGGGCGCUUACCACGGUGGGAUUCAUGACUGGGGUG